CACCGGCGGCUCGAGUGGUAACCGUUAUUAUUGGGUUUAAAGGGUCUGUAGCCGGCCGGAUAAGUCUCUUGGGAAAUCUGGCAGCUCAACUGUCAGGCUUUCAGGAGAUACUGUUCGGCUCGAGACCGGGAGAGGUGAGAGGUACUUCAGGGGUAGGGGUGAAAUCUUGUAAUCCUUGAAGGACCACCAGUGGCGAAGGCGUCUCACCAGAACGGAUCUGACGGCAAGGGACGAAAGCUAGGGGC
RNAcentral lists this ribosomal RNA (245 nucleotides) under uncultured archaeon. RNAcentral describes it as "partial 16S ribosomal RNA". It matches the Rfam family "Archaeal small subunit ribosomal RNA", at positions 474 to 718 of the family's 1478-position model. The record is from RNAcentral.